Molecule: ribosomal RNA, 454 nt
Filed under: uncultured bacterium
Lineage: Bacteria
Description: partial 16S ribosomal RNA
Rfam family: Bacterial small subunit ribosomal RNA
Source: RNAcentral
GAUGAACGCUGACAGAAUGCUUAACACAUGCAAGUCUACUUGAACUUCGGUUUGGGUGGCGGACGGGUGAGUAACGCGUAAAGAACUUGCCUCACAGAUAGGGACAACAUUUGGAAACGAAUGCUAAUACCUGAUAUUAUGAUUUUAGGGCAUCCUAGAAUUAUGAAAGCUAUAUGCACUGUGAGAGAGCUUUGCGUCCCAUUAGCUAGUUGGAGAGGUAACGGCUCACCAAGGCGAUGAUGGGUAGCCGGCCUGAGAGGGUGAUCGGCCACAAGGGGACUGAGACACGGCCCUUACUCCUACGGGAGGCAACAGUGGGGAAUAUUGGACAAUGGACCAAGAGUCUGAUCCAGCAAUUCUGUGUGCACGAUGAAGUUUUUCGGAAUGUAAAGUGCUCUCAGUUGGGAAGAAAAAAAUGACGGUACCAACAGAAGAAGUGACGGCUAAAUACGUG